UACGUAGGGGGCGAGCGUUGUCCGGAGUUACUGGGCGUAAAGGGCAUGCAGGCGGUCCGACACGUUUUGUGUGACAGCGGGUGGCUUAACUACCCGAGGAUACGAAAGACGGUAGGACUUGAGGACUCGAGAGGGACACGGAAUUCCGGGUGGAGUGGUGAAAUGCGUAGAGAUCCGGAGGAACACCGAAGGCGAAGGCAGUGUCCUGGCGAGUGACUGACGCUGAGGUGCGAAAGCCAGGGGAGCGAACGGG
This 253-nucleotide ribosomal RNA is filed under the name uncultured bacterium. RNAcentral's name for it is "partial 16S ribosomal RNA". It matches the Rfam family "Bacterial small subunit ribosomal RNA", at positions 524 to 776 of the family's 1533-position model. The record is from RNAcentral.